UAACACGUAGGGAANCUGCCCGCGCACCGGGAAUACGCUCUGGAAACGGAGAACAAAUCCCGAUGUACAGGAAGGAGGCAUCUUCUUUCUGUGAAACAUCCUUUAGGGGAUGGGGCGCGGAUGGACCUGCGGUGCAUUAGUUUGUUGGCGGGGUAAAGGCCCACCAAGACGAUGAUGCAUAGCCGGCCUGAGAGGGCGGACGGCCACAUUGGGACUGAGACACGGCCCAGACUCCUGCGGGAGGCAGCAGUAGGGAAUUUUCGUCAAUGGGCGCAAGCCUGAACGAGCGAUGCCGCGUGAGUGAAGAAGGCCUUCGGGUCGUAAAGCUCUGUUGCGGGGGAAAAAAGGCAGCAUCAGGAAAUGGGUGCUGACUGAUGGUGCCCCGCCAGAAAGUCACGGCUAACUACGUGCCAGCAGCCGCGGUAAUACGUAGGUGGCGAGCGUUAUCCGGAAUGAUUGGGCGUAAAGGGUGCGCAGGCGGUCCUGCAAGUCUGGAGUGAAACGCAUGAGCUCAACUCAUGCAUGGCUUUGGAAACUGGAGGACUGGAGGGCAGGAGAGGGCGGUGGAACUCCAUGUGUAGCGGUAAAAUGCGUAGAUAUAUGGAAGAACACCAGUGGCGAAGGCGGCCGCCUGGCCUGUUGCUGACGCUGAGGCACGAAAGCGUGGGGAGCAAAUAGGAUUAGAUACCCUAGUAGU
RNAcentral lists this ribosomal RNA (697 nucleotides) under uncultured bacterium. Its description in RNAcentral is "bacterial SSU rRNA". It matches the Rfam family "Bacterial small subunit ribosomal RNA", at positions 111 to 794 of the family's 1533-position model. The record is from RNAcentral.